GCGGGCUGGGCUGUUACCUCGGCUUCGGGCUGGGUCUGGAGCUGUCCGGGGAAGCCUAGCAUCCUGGCUGGGUUGCUGGGGUGGAGAUUAUGCUGGAGCAGCUGGACUGGCUCAGGAGGUCUCUGGUGUCUGUGAACAGAUUGUGUUUCUUCAGCCUGGCUGCCUCCUCCACCACUGUAGAGCAAACAGAGACAUGUUUAAAAGCACGCGCACUAAUAAUAUUGGUGUGGGUGAGCAGAGAGAGUAACAUUGUAGUAAUACCUAAAAUAUGUAUUACAAUUGAAUACGAUACAAAUGAAUAACUCCAAUAUCUAGCAGAAACAAUACCUUUGAUGACUUCCUUGUCCAGACUCUGCAGCAAAAUGCCCUCAUAGAUAUUGUGAACAUGGACAAAGUUGGAAUAGUCUGCAUAGAUGAACUGUUUAAGACCCUGCAGCUCCUAAAGACACAGAAACAACCAUUUCAACCUGCGAUUUUCUAAACAAUAAUGAGAUUUCAGGACACAAAAAAUAUGUAAAGGCCUGUGCUCUCAAAACACUUAUUUUGGGGCAGUAUAAUUUAUGCUGGCUUUCCCCCUAUUUUCUUGAGGGUUUUGAAGGCUAGCUGAGAGACUCACUGUUUUGCAGCAAGACCCUCUGUCAUCUACUAGUGCGACCAUCACUGGUGCAGUGAGACCCUCUACAACGUCUACAUCAUCCACAAAUAUGACCACCACCGGUGCAGCCAUGGAAGAUGAUGAAAUGGAGGAAGCACCGCUGGAUCUCGGACCACCUGAGAUUAUUAUGACCCUCACGGAAGUGACCACUGAGGACCUUGUUGAACAGGAUGUGGCCGUGGAGACAAACGAGGAGAGACACGAAGAGGAACAAAGCCACACCAGGCGCCAUCGGCGGUACCAGCCCCCAGAUCCACUCAUUUCAGCAGAGGCACCUCCAAGCUGUCAAGAGGGAUACAGCCCAACCUGAUGCUCACAGGAAGGAGGAGGAAGAGACCCUCUUUGCCAUCAGCCUGGUGACAACCCUAAAGAGGCUGCCUCAGCAAAGAAAAGCAGCAGUCAAGAGAUGCAGUCAAUUUAGCUGACCAGCUCACAGGAAGGACAGGAAGAGGUGAGCUGUCUGGUUGUUGUUUUGACCUUCUCCUCCAAUGGGUUUUGAGCAGGAGGUGAGGAGAGGACGCGAGGAAUCAAGGAAAUGCAACUGAUAUUUUCCAAGGGUCCUCACUUGAGAUUUUCUAACUUAUUCCGCUUACUAAUGUCCUUUCUUAGUAGGCUUUUUAGUAUAAAAUUAAUGGAAUUCAUAAAGUAAAUAGUUUCUCAAUACUUACUGUAGGACAGCAUUCAUUAUUCGUUGUACAUAGAUUGCAUGAAAAUUGACUGAAUUGAAACUGACACACCGGAGAAUUCAGAUGCUCUUGUUGUUCUUUUACAAGACUGAAGGUGAAAUGUGUGUUUACCUGUAUUGUGGCUACACAUUCACAGACAGCCCUGCCCUCUCUCUCUUUAUGGCCAUGUCUGAAGUUCCCCUACUAUGUCUAGGCUUUAUGAAUUGUCCCUGUAUCUGUCUGCAGUUGUGCAUGCUCUUGCUCUUGUUGUUCUCUUACAGAUUACAGGCUACACAAACAUUUUUGUAUUUUUACACGCACAUACAUGGACACACACCUCUUUCAAUAGUUAUUUUAUUUUUGGUAACAUUUCUACAACACACAUACCUGUCGUGUUCUUUCCUGC
Oncorhynchus tshawytscha (Chinook salmon) is the source of this 1726-nucleotide long non-coding RNA. Lineage: Eukaryota; Metazoa; Chordata; Actinopteri; Salmoniformes; Salmonidae. The record is from Ensembl.